This 5798-nucleotide long non-coding RNA is filed under the name Olea europaea (common olive). RNAcentral describes it as "long non-coding RNA (OEUR_LNC012646)". Lineage: Eukaryota; Viridiplantae; Streptophyta; Magnoliopsida; Lamiales; Oleaceae. The record is from RNAcentral.
UAAAUCAAGAUUUUCUCAAAACAAAUCAGAAAAUAAGAACACGAGAGAUUUUUCGAUUAAAGGCCCCAAAGGUUCAGUGAUCGCUUCUAAUGCUUAGUCCCCCGUUGAGCAUCCAUAAAGGAUUAAGUUCGAAUCCACUAAAAAUCGGCCACAAAUAGGCAAAGUACAAUUUACAGAACACUCAGUUUCAGAUCACAGAGAAACAACUUAAUCUUCUCUUAAUAGAAACUCACGUAAGAGUUUCUUUACAGAUUCUCUCAAAAUAACACUCAGUAUUUCAGAGAAAAACUCAAGAUCAGAAACGAAGGAGAGAAAACGGCACGCAGCUAGAAAACCCUCAGAAUACUAAAAGCUAACCCUAAAAAUCUGAGGCUUCCUAUUUAUAUGAAAGAUAAAGAUCCAAUGUCCACCGAUUUUCCACUUGUCAUUGAUCCAAGAAAAAUGCUCCUUUUGGCCAGAAAAUGCUCAAUUCAACAGCCUUGAGAAAAUGGGCUCACAUCACAAAAUGCAGCAACACAGAAACUUACAAUCUCCACCUUUGCUGUAUUUUGUGCCUGCAUCUAUGUGGAUUCUAACUUAGUCUUUUAUUUCAUUUGCUCUGAUCACUUGUUUACAAAAAAAUUGUUAGCAAGUUUCGAGAUUUAAUAAUCUCAAACAAUGUGAAAACUUACAAAGUGGUAUUACCUUUAUCCUAACAUCAGUAGGAUUGACCAUAGUGGGUAUAUAAAUCAGUUUAAUACCCCCUUUAUCAAUUAUAUCUCUAAUGAAAUGAAAUUUAACACAAUGUGCUUUGACCUAUCAUGAAAAUUUGGAUUUUUAAUUAAGAAAAUAGUACUUUGAUUAUCAGAACAUAACUCUACCUAACAUUCUAUAAGACCUAAUUCAUUUAACUGUCCUUUCAGCUACAGUCCCUCUUUAACAGCUUUAGUGGCAGCCAUAUAUUCUAUCUCAGUAGAGGAUAAGGCAACUAUUUUCUAAAGUUGUGACUUCCAGCUAAUGGAAGUAUUGUUUAUGACAUAAAAAUAUGCAGAAGUAGACUUUCUAUUAUCUAGGUUUCCAGCAAAAUCUGAGUCAACAUAACCUUUUAGUUUAAAACAAUCUUUACUUGUUUCAAACAUAAGUCUUAGAUUACAUGUGCCUUUCAGAUAUUGAAUCAGGUUUUUCAUGUAUUUCCAAUGAAACUCACCUAGAUUACUCAUGAAUCUACUUAAUACACUUACAACAUAUGCUAUAUCAGGUCUAGUACAUACCAUUACAUAUAUAACUGAUCCAACAACAUUAGCAUAGGGCACAUUUACCAUUUUUUAAAUUGUUCUUCUGUGUUAGGUGAUUGCUCAACAGAUAAUUUCAUGCAAGCAGACAAAGGUAAACUAAUAGGCUUGGCAUUCUCAAGAAAAAAUCUUUUGACCACUUUUUCAAUGUAAGAUUUCUGAGUUAAAAAUAUUUUUCCAUAAAUAUUUAAUCUCUUAUAAUUUCCAUGCCUAAAAUCUUUCUUGCAAGGCCCAGAUCCUACCUUUCAAAUUCCAAUUUCAAAUUUUCUUUUAUGGAAUUAAGAGUAACAGAAUUGUGACCAGCCAACAACAUAUCAUCAACAUAUAAAAGAAGGUAAAAGAAUUCAGAAUCAUUAUUCCUCUUAAAAUAAAAACAAAGAUCAAAGUCUGAUUUCUUGAACUCUAGGCCUUGUAUAAAAGAAUCGCAUCUCUUAUACCAUUGGCUAGGAGUAUGUUUUAAGCCAUAUAGUAAUUUAUUUAGGAGACACACUAGAUUGCCAUUAUUUUUUACCCCAAACCCUUUAGGCUGUGUCUUAUAUUUGGUUUCAUCUAAAGAACCAUACAAGAAGACAGUCUUUACAUCAAGUUGCUCCAGUUCCAUAUCAAACUGGGUAACAAUGGCAAGGAGAAUUCUAAUAGAGGUGUAUUUAACUACAGGUGAGAAAAUUUCAGUAAAGUCUAUCCAUUCUCUUUGUGUGAAGCCUUUAGCUACAAGCCUUGCCUUAUAUCUUUUAUUAGAUAUAUUUGAAUCCCCCUUUUUAAUCUUAUACACUCAAUUACAGUUAACUAGUUUACAUUCUUCAGGUUUCUUAACCAAUUCCCAAGUUUUAUUUUUAUACAAGGAGUUUAUUUCAUCUUCCAUGGCUUCUAUCCAUUUUGAUGACUCUUUUGAAGAUAUUGCUUUCUCAUAGGAGGUGGGCUCAAGAUCAGAGGGCUUAAAAUAUAUUUCAGCAGAUACAUAAUCUGUAUAUUGACAUCUGGAAGGAGGUCUUAUUUCCCUCCUUUCCCUAUUUCUUGCAAGCUGAUAAUUUUGCAGCUCAUGUGCUGGGCUUAAUUCUUGAUUAUCAUUCAGAAUUUCAACAUCUAAAUUGUUAUUAAGCUCUGUUUGAGGCCGCUCCACCUCAAAUCAAGUCUACCUAUCAAUAUUUUCUUUGUUCAACUCAAUUUCUGUGAUAAUAAAAUCAUCAUCCUUUAUGUUUUCAUGGGUUUUGUCACUAAGACAUGGAAACUCAUCCUCAUUGAAAAUCACAGACCUACUUAUUAUCACCUUAUAACCUCUAGUAUCCCUUAACCAAAGUCUAUAGCCUUUAACUCUCCCUCCAUAUCCUAAGAAGACACCCUUUUUUGACCUAGGAUCCAAUUUUGAGUCAUUAUGAUGUGCAUAUGCAGCAAAACCAAAAGUUCUGAGGUAGGAGUAGUCAGGCAUAGAACCAGACCAGAUCUGUUCAGGGAUUCUAUUAUUUAAGGAACUACAGGGUCAUUUAUUCAAUAAGUAAUAGGCUGUCUUUACAACUUUCCCCCAAAAUAUUUUAGGCAUGCUAGAACUAAUCAGCAUACACCUGGUCCUCUUAAGAUUAGUUCUAUUUAGUCUCUCAACAACCCCAUUUUUCUGAGGUGUAUAGGUAACAGUUUUAUGUCUCAAUAUGCCUUGAUUGCUGCAGUAUUGAUCAAAUUCUGUACUGCAAAAUUCCAGCCCAUUAUCAGUUCUAAGAUUCUUAAUCUUCUUGCUUGUUUAGUUUUCAAUUAAUGUACACCAUUGUUUAAAUAUUACAAAAGUAUCGGAUUUUGAUUUAAGCAAGAAAAUCUAGGACUUCCUGGAAUAAUCAUCUAUGAUUAAUAGGUAAUAUCUAUACCCAGACACUGUAGACACUGGUGCAGGACCCCACAAGUCACUGUGUAUAUAUUCCAAAAUAUUUUGAGACUUGUGUAUACCUACGCUAAAAGGUAACCUUACUUGUUUCUCGAAAAUACAAUAUUCACAAAAAGUUAGUUUUUGAACAUGGUCCUUUUCAAAUGCCCCUUGAUGAGAAAGAGAUUUUAAACCCUUUUCACCAAGAUGGCCAAGUCUCUUGUGCCAGAGUUCUGACUUAACAGAAUGUGCAACAAGAGUCACAAGAUUAUUCUUUGGUUUAGGUUUGGUGUCAAUAAAAUAGAUUCCAUUAAUUUUUGGGGCACUAAUAAUGGGCUUUUGAUCUUUGAUUAAAACCAUUCUUGAUUUCAACAUAAUAAUUCUAAUCAUCAAGAACACAUAGAGAGAUUAAAUUCCUACUUAGUGCUGGUACAUAUCUUGUAUGUUUCAGCAUUAAGUAAUGGCCAUAUUUUAAUUUCAGAAGGAUAUUGCCUAUGCCUCUAAUUUGGCAUGAUUCAUUAUUACCAAAUUUUACAAAACCUUCAUUAAGGUCAGAGAAGUUAGAGAACCAACCUUUAUUGGGGGUCCUAUGAAAAUAAUAACCUGAAUCCAAAACCCAGUUCUGAUAAGUUCUUUCAGUAACAGAUACAUAAGCAACCCCAAUGUUGGCUCUUGCUUCUUUACAAGGGAUAGCCAUGGACGAUGACCCAAUCUCAAAAUUGAGAUUAUUUUUCUGGUCAAUGGCUUUCUUGAAGCAAUCUUUGAUAAAAUGACCUAACUUCCUACAAUAAUAGCACUUUUUGUUUUUUGUCUUGGUCUUAUUAAAUUUCUUAUCCUUUCCUUUACUAUUAUUGACCCAUUUUCUUUUUACAAAAUUUCUAUCCUUGUAGUGAUUAGAUUGACUAAAGUUACUAACACCAUUAGUUUGAGAUUUCUGAUUUGUAGCGGCAUUUUCAACAUAAAAUACCUCCUUAUGUUCAGAUUUCAAUUCUUGCUCCUUAUUCAGAAGAGAGCUAUGGAUAAUUUCAACUGUCAAGUUACUCCUACCAGAUACCAAGGCAUUUCUGUCCCCUAAGGCUUUUAGCAGGCCUACUACCUUUUGCUCAUUUGAGAUCCUUUCUUCACAAUUUAUAAGUUCUUGUGUGAUCUUAUUAAAUCUAUUCAUGUUUUCUUCUGUAUCAAGAUUGUGAUCAAACUUAAAACUAAAGAAUUGCCCCCAUAGAAAACAUUUAUUUGGUAGUCUUAGUUAGGUACUGUUUUUCUAAGGCUGUCCAUAAUUCUGCAGCAGUCUUAGUUUUUCCUACUUUUCUAAUCACAGAGUCAGAUAAGUGUAAGAACAUAGUACUCCAAGCUAGCUCAUCUUGUUCAAUUUUUCUAUUUUUAGGUAGGUUUUCAGGCCAAUAUUCAUCAACAACUUUAACACAUUUUAAUUGUAACAGUAAGGCUUUAAUUUUCUGGCGUCAGAGACUAAAGUCUCCUUUGCCAUCCUAAAUCUGAAUAUCUACUUUUGAAUUCAUAGCAAGCAACAAUAUCCAAAUUGUGCUCAAGUGUGAUAUGUACAAUAAUUUGUCACGCAAGUCAAUACAGUAUAUGUCAAACAUGAUGUAGAAAGAUCUAACAAGAAGGAUCCCAAAUAGCAUACAAUGCAGAAAUAUUGUAGGGCCAAAAAAUAUACUUACACUAAGUAAGCAGAAGGAAAGUUCUCAACAUGUAUACCUUCACAAGAGCAUGUACAUGUGAUGAGAUAUUUCUUAAUUGAACACGAAGCCAAAAAAAAAAAAAUAUCACACCGUUAAUAUCAUCCAAUAGUUUUAAAAAAAACGAGAAUAUGAAUUCAAGUUAUAAAAAUACACACAGUAUUAAACUAAUAAGAAUUAAAAAAUUGAAAAUUCUGGUUUCUUGAAUCGAAAGAUCCCUGGAUUCCCUCAGAUUCUAGGGUUCUCUUAAGGAAACCUAGACAAAGGAAAAUACAGAGUAGAUCAAGUCGAACCAGACUCCUUUUCUUUUAAAAGCUACCAACAAAAAUGUUGUAGGAUGAAAGAAGAAAGAACUCCAAGAAGAUAUAUAAAAAUAAUAACAAAGGCAACCCAAAUUUUUUUUUCGAAUGUUGGCAAAUUUUUUUCAGAUCUGCCCAUUUUCUUUAGGCCAAGAGAAUCCCCCUUUGAGAUUCAAGUUUCAGAAAUUAGGUUUUGAGAAAACUGAAUUUAAGCAAAAAAUUUCAAGCUCUAAUACCAUUGUAGUUUCAGAAUCGAAUUUAUACCAAAAAAUACUCAACGCAGAAAUCAAGAUUUUCUCAAAACAAAUCAGAAAAUACGGCCAAAGGUCCCGGAAGUUCAGCGACCACUUCUAACGCUUAGUCCCCCGUUGAGCAUCCAUAAAUGAUUAAGCUCGAAUCCACUAAAAAUCGGUCACAAAUAGGCAAAGUACAAUUUACAGAACACUCAGUUCUAGAUCACAGAGAAACAACUCAAUCUUCCCUUAAUAGAAACUCACGUAAAAGUUUCUUUACAGAUUCUCUCAAAAUAACACUCAGUAUUUCAGAGGAAAAAUCAAGAUCAGAAACAAAGAAGAGAGAACGACACUCAGCCAAAAAACCCUCAGAAUACUAAAAGCUAACCCUAAAAAUCUGAGGCAUCCUAUUUAUAUGAAAGAUAAAGAUCCAACGUCCAUCGAUUGGC